Molecule: ribosomal RNA, 465 nt
Filed under: uncultured bacterium
Lineage: Bacteria
Description: partial 16S ribosomal RNA
Rfam family: Bacterial small subunit ribosomal RNA
Source: RNAcentral
GACGAACGCUGGCGGCGUGCUUAACACAUGCAAGUCGAACGCUGAACCCGCUUCGGUGGGGGAUGAGUGGCGAACGGGUGAGUAACACGUGGGCAACCUGCCCCCGGCUCUGGGAUAACUCCAAGAAAUUGGGGCUAAUACCGGAUGUGACCGCUGGCCGCAUGGUCUGGUGGUGGAAAGGGUUUCCGGCUGGGGAUGGGCCCGCGGCCUAUCAGCUUGUUGGUGGGGUAGUGGCCUACCAAGCCGACGACGGGCAGCCGGCCUGAGAGGGUGACCGGCCACGCUGGGACUGAGACACGGCCCAGACUCCUACGGGAGGCAGCAGUGGGGAAUAUUGCGCAAUGGGCGGAAGCCUGACGCAACGACGCCGCGUGGGGGAUGACGGCCUUCGGGUUGUAAACCUCUUUCAGCAGGGACGAAGCGCAAGUGACGGUACCUGCAGAAGAAGCACCGGCCAACUACGUG